This 1320-nucleotide long non-coding RNA is filed under the name Apteryx haastii (Great spotted kiwi). RNAcentral's name for it is "lncRNA (ENSAHAG00000009081.1)". Lineage: Eukaryota; Metazoa; Chordata; Aves; Apterygiformes; Apterygidae. The record is from RNAcentral.
UCGUACAUCUCGGGCCAAGUCACGUCGAGGGUGUUUCCGCUUGCGGAGCGAGGGGGGCCCGGCACCCCCGGGCUCUCGGCUGCUGGCCCCGCGGGGGCUCGCGCGGCGCCAUCGCCUCCAAACGCCGCCUCGCUCCCAGGAGCGAGCGSCUUCCCCGCGCCGUCCCGGCACGCGUCUCCCUGCGGAGCAGCCGCUCCUCUGGCGAGAACCGGCGGCGCAGCGUCACGUAGGCCCGCGUCCGCAGCCGGCCCGGCCUCGGAGCGCUUCGUCACCCUCCCCUUCGCCGGGAGCCGCAGCCCUGUCUCCUCYGCCUCCUGCUCCGCGGCGGCGCUCGCGGUGGGAGCUGCCUCCUCUGCUCCAGGGCCGGGCGCCGGCCUUCUGCUCUGCCCUGCCUCCUCGCUCCCCGGCUUCCCGGGAGCCGGCUUCACUGCCUUCUCCUUCCCUCUGCUCUUCCGUGACGGCAGUGGCGAGGACAGCGGCGCCUCAGCGGGCGCCAGGCCCCCCUGUGCCACGGCGCCCGCGGGCUCCCGCUCCUCUCGGGCGACCUCGGCGGCGCUCGCUCCGCGUUGCUUGCGGCUCCUCCUCGGCUGCGCCGGCGUCUUGGGCCUCACGACCUCCAGGGAGGCGCUGGCAGGGCCCGGCUCGGCGCAGGCCCCCUCCCCGCCCGGCGCCCCGGGAGCAGCCUGCGGCGACGCCUCCGGGGCAGGCCGCGGGGCGAGCUCGCUCGCGGAGCUCUUCCCUGCCGAGGCGUCCAGGGAGGCCGGCGACGCCGGAGAGCCGCCGUGCUCCGGUGGGCCGUGCCGCGCUGCUGCCGGGCUGCCUGGGGGCUGCUCCCCUCCGGCGCCCCCGUCCCGGGCAGGGCCGCUGCCUGCAGCGAGGGCGCGAGGCUCCGUGGCCUGGCUGCUGCUCGCUGCCCCUGCCUCCGAGGCGGACGGCAGCGCUGCCGGGUCGCGGGCUGCCUCCUGCCCCGGGCUGCUCGCAGCCGCGCCGCCAGCCGGGCCGGCCAGGGCAGCUGCGGGGGUGCGGGGCAGCUGCCUCCCCUGCGUGCUGGGCAUCGGCAGCGCGGAGCGAGGGCCGCCGGGCUCGCCGCCCUCACGCCGAAACCCGCUGACCGAGCCCGGCUCCGUCCCGUCCUCGCUGCCCGGGAGCACCUGCGGCGGGGCGAGGUGCCCGCCGGCGGGCCGGCGCGGGGAGGCGUCUCCGGGGAGGCCACGUGGGGGAGAGCUCCCGGCGCCAGGCCCUGGCCCGCUGCCCGCCCUCGCUGCGGUCUGCCCGCUGGCGCCGGCGCGGCAGUCCCCUCCGGGCACGCCGUCCCCUUGA